RNAcentral lists this unclassified non-coding RNA (232 nucleotides) under plant metagenome. RNAcentral's name for it is "partial contains small subunit ribosomal RNA, internal transcribed spacer 1, and 5.8S ribosomal RNA". The record is from RNAcentral.
UCUCCGUUGGUGAACCAGCGGAGGGAUCAUUACAGAGCUGCAAAACUCCCAAACCGUUGUGAACGUUACCUAUCCCGUUGCUUCGGCGGGCGGCCCGGGCCCCGCGCCCGGCGCCCCCCCGGCCCCCCAUGGGCGCCCGCCGGAGGUAAACCAAACCCUUGAAUUGCAUGGCCUCUCUGAGUCUUCUGUACUGAAUAAGUCAAAACUUUCAACAACGGAUCUCUUGGUUCUG